This 212-nucleotide ribosomal RNA is filed under the name uncultured bacterium. RNAcentral's name for it is "partial 16S ribosomal RNA". It matches the Rfam family "Bacterial small subunit ribosomal RNA", at positions 1289 to 1500 of the family's 1533-position model. The record is from RNAcentral.
CAGUUCGGACUGUAGGCUGCAACUCGCCUACACGAAGCUGGAAUCGCUAGUAAUCGCGGAUCAGCACGCCGCGGUGAAUACGUUCCCGGGCCUUGUACACACCGCCCGUCAAACCAUGAGAGUUGGCAACACCCGAAGUCGGUAGUCUAACCGCAAGGAGGACGCCGCCGAAGGUGGGGUCGAUGAUUAGGGUUAAGUCGUAACAAGGUAGC